RNAcentral lists this signal recognition particle RNA (301 nucleotides) under Theobroma cacao (cacao). Its description in RNAcentral is "SRP RNA Plant_SRP". It matches the Rfam family "Plant signal recognition particle RNA". Lineage: Eukaryota; Viridiplantae; Streptophyta; Magnoliopsida; Malvales; Malvaceae. The record is from Rfam by way of RNAcentral.
GCCGAGCUUAGCAACGUAAGCUCAUAACCUGAGUAGGGGCAUUAUGGUAAUGGAACACAAGUUUGAUUCAGUGAUUCAGAUCCAGUGUGGUCUAAUUCGAGCUUGCCCAUUGAAAGUCAAAAGUUGUUCCAUGGGAAUUAAGUGAAGACUCAAGGUCUCGUGGUUCCUAAAGUGGUGGGUACUAUGCAAGGUGAGUUUCAUAAAGUAGCAAAGACCACCUGCUCUUGGUAGUGGAAGGAUAACAAGCCUGCACGCCUUGGAUCCAACAUAGCUCAUUAGGUUGACCUAGACCAUCAUCUUU